Molecule: ribosomal RNA, 571 nt
Filed under: Bacillus sp. (in: firmicutes)
Lineage: Bacteria; Bacillati; Bacillota; Bacilli; Caryophanales; Bacillaceae
Description: bacterial SSU rRNA
Rfam family: Bacterial small subunit ribosomal RNA
Source: RNAcentral
AGCGGCGGACGGCCCAGUAACACGUGGGUAACCUGCCUGUAAGACUGGGAUAACUCCCGGAAACCGGAGCUAAUACCGGAUAGUUCCUUGAACCGCAUGGUUCAAGGAUGAAAGACGGUUUCGGCUGUCACUUACAGAUGGACCCGCGGCGCAUUAGCUAGUUGGUGGGGUAAUGGCUCACCAAGGCGACGAUGCGUAGCCGACCUGAGAGGGUGAUCGGCCACACUGGGACUGAGACACGGCCCAGACUCCUACGGGAGGCAGCAGUAGGGAAUCUUCCGCAAUGGACGAAAGUCUGACGGAGCAACGCCGCGUGAGUGAUGAAGGUUUUCGGAUCGUAAAGCUCUGUUGUUAGGGAAGAACAAGUGCGAGAGUAACUGCUCGCACCUUGACGGUACCUAACCAGAAAGCCACGGCUAACUACGUGCCAGCAGCCGCGGUAAUACGUAGGUGGCAAGCGUUGUCCGGAAUUAUUGGGCGUAAAGGGCUCGCAGGCGGUUUCUUAAGUCUGAUGUGAAAGCCCCCGGCUCAACCGGGGAGGGUCAUUGGAAACUGGGAAACUUGAGUGCAG